AUAACUGGUUUUAAUUGGAGUAAUAUACCUGAAUGGUAAAAAAAAUAAAAAAAAUAUGUGAUCAGUUUAAUAUCUGAUACUUCCCCUAUCUGAGGACCAUACAGGGAGAUGGAAGAAGAGCUUGCUCUGUCCACUCCACGCAUCAACCUGGAAUUGCAGUACCUCCAGGACCGGUGCACUUCUC
This is a non-coding RNA of Xenopus laevis (African clawed frog), 184 nucleotides long. The record is from Rfam. Lineage: Eukaryota; Metazoa; Chordata; Amphibia; Anura; Pipidae.